UACAGAGGGGGCAAGCGUUGUUCGGAAUUACUGGGCGUAAAGGGCGCGUAGGCGGCCCUCUAAGUCGAACGUGAAAUCCCUGGGCUCAACCCAGGAACUGCGUCCGAUACUGGGAGGCUUGAAUCCGGGAGAGGGAUGCGGAAUUCCAGGUGUAGCGGUGAAAUGCGUAGAUAUCAGGAGGAACACCUGCGGUGUAGACGGCUUACUGGACCAUAACUGACGCUGAGGCACGAAAGCGUGGGUAGCAAACAGG
RNAcentral lists this ribosomal RNA (253 nucleotides) under uncultured bacterium. Its description in RNAcentral is "partial 16S ribosomal RNA". It matches the Rfam family "Bacterial small subunit ribosomal RNA", at positions 524 to 776 of the family's 1533-position model. The record is from RNAcentral.